RNAcentral lists this ribosomal RNA (253 nucleotides) under uncultured bacterium. RNAcentral's name for it is "partial 16S ribosomal RNA". It matches the Rfam family "Bacterial small subunit ribosomal RNA", at positions 524 to 776 of the family's 1533-position model. The record is from RNAcentral.
UACGGGGGGGGCAAGCGUUGUUCGGAAUUACUGGGCGUAAAGGGCGCGUAGGCGGCCUGCUAAGUCGGACGUGAAAUCCCUCGGCUCAACCGAGGAACUGCGUCCGAUACUGGUGGGCUUGAAUCCGGGAGAGGGAUGUAGAAUUCCAGGUGUAGCGGUAAAAUGCGUAGAUAUCUGGAGGAACACCGGUGGCGAAGGCGGCAUCCUGGACCGGUAUUGACGCUGAGGCGCGAAAGCUAGGGGAGCAAACGGG